AGCUGAUUUCGUCUUGGUAAUA
Molecule: microRNA, 22 nt
Filed under: Caenorhabditis elegans
Lineage: Eukaryota; Metazoa; Nematoda; Chromadorea; Rhabditida; Rhabditidae
Description: cel-miR-39-5p
Gene: cel-miR-39-5p
Source: miRBase by way of RNAcentral